UCGCACCUACUGAUUAGGCAUCAUCAUGAGUUGGACGGAGAUAGCAUGAUAAAAGUUUCUUUUAUCUUGUUGAAGAAGUUCUGCGAAUGGUGCUGCCCAGAAGAAGGUA
RNAcentral lists this ribosomal RNA (109 nucleotides) under uncultured eukaryote. RNAcentral's name for it is "partial small subunit ribosomal RNA". The record is from RNAcentral.